Molecule: long non-coding RNA, 170 nt
Organism: Syngnathus acus (greater pipefish)
Lineage: Eukaryota; Metazoa; Chordata; Actinopteri; Syngnathiformes; Syngnathidae
Exons: 4
Source: RefSeq, a predicted model, not a curated record
UCUUAGUAUCAAGCAUAACAACUGCAAAGAUGGCAUUUGCUCUUCACCUGUUGUUCCUCGUUUGUGGAAUCAGUGGACUGUUCACUGGAGUCGAAUCUGUCAAAUUGACUCCAAAAAUAGCCAAUAGCUGCCCUCGAGGCUGGACUCAGUUGGACUGUAAAUGUUUCAAU